CCAUCUGCCACCCUACACUCUCAAUCCCUAAGUAAAACGGAUUCUCUGGAGAGACGCAGCACAUCGCCUGUGGCUCUGCAGCCCCCACCACAUUGUAGCGUACCCCCGUGGAGGAGUUUGGGGUCACACACUUACCGGCAUGGUGGCUGCCUGGCUGAGCCCGGGGACAGCAUGUACUCAUCCGAAGAGGGGACCCAUGACCGUGGUGUGCCCAGCACAAGAGCUCGCUUGGGAUCUCUGAUAAAGGAAGUCCACCAUGCAGGGUUGAGCUGAACCACAGAAGCCCAGCCUGGGAGCAGGGCUCCAGGACUCCCCAAGGAUCAGAAACCUCAAUGAUAAAUUUCCGACUGGAUGAUACACACUACAUCUGUUCUUCAGCGAUGAUGUAUGGUGUGUCUAACAUCUGCCUAUUAGCAGCUGAAUUCCCUUCUAUGACGUGAUACAUAAUGUAUGGUGUGACACAGCUGGGUAAUAAACAAUGUCAGCUGCGUCCUA
Molecule: non-coding RNA, 495 nt
Filed under: Pan troglodytes (chimpanzee)
Lineage: Eukaryota; Metazoa; Chordata; Mammalia; Primates; Hominidae
Source: RNAcentral